Molecule: ribosomal RNA, 242 nt
Filed under: uncultured eukaryote
Lineage: Eukaryota
Description: partial 18S ribosomal RNA
Rfam family: Eukaryotic small subunit ribosomal RNA
Source: RNAcentral
CGUAGUUGGAUUUCUGGUGGGAGUGAUCGGUCUGCCCCGUUAGGGGUGUGUACCAGUGUCGUCUCUUGCCAUCCUUGGGGAGAGCUUGCCUGGCAUUAGGUUGUCGGGCAAGGGAUCCCCAUCCUUUACUGUGAAAAAAUUAGAGUGUUUAAAGCAGGCUUAGGCCGUUGAAUACAUUAGCAUGGAAUAAUAAGAUAGGACUUUGGUGGUCUAUUUUGUUGGUUUGCACACCAAGGUAAUGA